UUGUACCAGCUUUCCUCAUCAGGACACAGCAUACACGAGGGCCUGUUCCCAGCUUUGGGGAGGGGACGGAGUGGGGGUGACGUCAGGGUGUCUCAAUGGGGCUCUGUUCCCCAGGCCUUGGAGCCAGGAGCCAGGCACCGGCAAGGAGACCAUGUGUGUGUUGUAUACGGGUCCACGUGCUUAAAUCACGGAAACACCAGCUCUGCAGCAAGAAAGCUUGAGAGUACAGGACCUCUCCGGCACGGGGGUCCAGUGAGGCAGACCUCGAUGGCGCCAGAGCCGGGAAGAAAACAGGAAGUGGGAAACAGCCACGGCGGAGUCGAGAAGCGCCGGGAUGGAGGAUCGGAUGGAGGGGCGCGCGGGGGCCGGCAGUCGGAGAGACAGACCGACCUGGAGGCCGUUCUGGUCCCCCGCCUUCCCCUGAGAAGCUACACGCGACCAGGACCCCAGGCAGGGUUGCACUGGCCCUACAGGUCCCGUCAAGCCAAGGCCCGUAACGCAGAGGGAAGACAAGGCGGGGUUGUCUGGGCGCCUCGGUCCCCUCCCCGGGCGAGGCGAGGCUCCGGCUGCCCCCAGGGCCCGGCAGCCCGUGAGCCAGUGGGAGUCGGGGAGUAAGUGGGACGCACGUGACUGACCCUACGGCACAGCGCACCCCUGCCCCACCCCCGCCCCCUCCUCGGCCCCAAUCCCCUGGCGCCGGAGCCCCACUCCGAGCCCUUUAAGAGCCGCCCCCACCCGCCGAGCAGGGAGGUGGGGUGGGUGGGCCGGUCAGGGCACACACCCGCACAUAGGAGCCCGAGCCGCGGCCGCCGCCGGGGGAAGGAAACAAGUUUGAACAGCGGCGCCCGGCCCCCUUCCCCCCCUCCCUCGUCCCCGCCCCAGGCCGGAUUCCGACGGGGCAGACGGGCAGGGGGCGGCGAGGCCCCCUCCACCGCCGCCACCACCACCCCCCCGCACGCCCGGGCGCAAAGUCCAGCCUGUGCAAGCCCGGGGGCGGCGGGGGAGGGGAUGGGGGAAAAGUCCGAGUGGGAGGGGGGU
Non-coding RNA from Peromyscus maniculatus bairdii (prairie deer mouse), 1038 nucleotides. Lineage: Eukaryota; Metazoa; Chordata; Mammalia; Rodentia; Cricetidae. The record is from RefSeq and is a predicted model, not a curated record.